GCAGGCGGGUUUGUAAGUCUGAUGUGAAAUACCCCGGGCCUCAACCUCGGGAAGUUAGCAUUGGAGACUGCAAGGCUAGAAUCUGGCAGGAGGGGGGUAGAAUUCCCACGUGUAGCAGUGAAAUGCGUAGAUAUGUGGAGGAACACCGAUGGCGAAGGCAGCCCCCCUGGGUCAAGAUUGACGCUCAUGCACGAAAGCGUGGGGAGCAAACAGGAUUAGAUACCCCGGGU
RNAcentral lists this ribosomal RNA (230 nucleotides) under uncultured bacterium. RNAcentral describes it as "partial 16S ribosomal RNA". It matches the Rfam family "Bacterial small subunit ribosomal RNA", at positions 571 to 792 of the family's 1533-position model. The record is from RNAcentral.